GGGCAGAGCGCGUGUGGCGGCCGAGCACAUGGGCCCGCGGGCCGGGCGGGCUCGGGGCGGCCGGGACGAGGAGGGGCGACGACGAGCUGCGAGCAAAGAUGUGCCCCGGGACCCCCGGCACCUUCCAGUGGAUUUCCUUGCGGAAAGGAUGUUGGCGGUCCCUGUGACCUGUGGAGACACGGCCAGAUCUGCCCUCCAGCCUGAUCUUUUGGCCAGAAGGAGAUUAAAAAGAUGCCCCUCAAGAUGGCUGUGCCUGUCAGCUGCAUGGAGCUUCGUUCAAGUAUUUUCUGAGCCUGAUGGAUUUACAGUGAUCUUCAGUGGUCUGGGGAAUAACGCUGGUGGAACCAUGCACUGGAAUGACACACGCCCGGCACAUUUCAGGAUACUAAAAGUGGUUUUAAGGGAGGCUGUGGCUGAAUGCCUCAUGGAUUCUUACAGCUUGGAUGUCCAUGGGGGACGAAGGACUGCAGCUGGCUGAGAGGGUUGAGAUCUCUGUUUACUUAGAUCUCUGCCAACUUCCUUUGGGUCUCCCUAUGGAAUGUAAGACCCCGACUCUUCCUGGUGAAGCAUCUGAUGCACGUUCCAUCCGGCGCUCAGCUGGGCUUGAGCUGACCAUACUCCCUGGAGCCUUCUCCCGAGGUGCGCGGGUGACCUUGGCACAUACAGCCAUCAUGAUGGUACUUUAAGUGGAGGCUGAAUCAUCUCCCCUUUGAGCUGCUUGGCACGUGGCUCCCUUGGUGUUCCCCUUUUACUGCCAGGACACUGAGAUUUGGAGAGAAUCCUGUUACACCUGGGAUUUAGGCACUUUCAAUCUGAAAAAAUACAUAUCCUUUCAGCACUCUGGACGGACUUGAGAACUGUCCUUACGUGACCUAAAGCUGGAGUAUUUUGAGAUUGGAGAAUUAAGAAGGACAGAAUAACGGGCUCCCAGAUUCACAAGCCCCACCAAGAGGAUCACCCCAGGAACGCUUGGAGGCUGAGGAGUUCACUGAGGCUACUGCAUCUUGAGACUCAGGAUGAAGACCCAGCUUGGGGCUGUCAAAGGUUUUUUGCAUGUCUGACACCCAUGACUCCACCUGGACCUUAUGGCUCCACCCAGAAGCAAUUCAGCCCAACAGGAGGACAGCUUCAACCCAUUACGAUUUCAUCUCUGCCCCAACCACUCAGCAGCAAGCACCUGUUACCUGUCCACCCCCACCCCUUCCCCCAAACUGCCUUUGAAAAAUCCCUAACCUAUGAGCUUUGAAUAAGAUGAGUACGAACUUCAUCGCCCACGUGGCGUGGCCGGCCUCGUGUCUAUUAAAUUCUUUUUCUACUACAA
RNAcentral lists this long non-coding RNA (1321 nucleotides) under Homo sapiens (human). RNAcentral describes it as "HSALNT0350092". The stretch from base 21 to 198 matches the Rfam family "Pvt1 oncogene conserved region 1". Lineage: Eukaryota; Metazoa; Chordata; Mammalia; Primates; Hominidae. The record is from RNAcentral.